Molecule: ribosomal RNA, 465 nt
Filed under: uncultured bacterium
Lineage: Bacteria
Description: partial 16S ribosomal RNA
Rfam family: Bacterial small subunit ribosomal RNA
Source: RNAcentral
CCUACGGGAGGCAGCAGUGGGGAAUAUUGCGCAAUGGGCGAAAGCCUGACGCAGCGACGCCGCGUGAGGGAUGAAGGUCUUCGGAUCGUAAACCUCUGUCAGCAGGGAAGAACGGUCACUGUGCUAAUCAGCAGUGCAUUGACGGUACCUGCAAAGGAAGCACCGGCUAACUCCGUGCCAGCAGCCGCGGUAAUACGGAGGGUGCGAGCGUUAAUCGGAAUUACUGGGCGUAAAGCGCUCGUAGGCGGGAUGUCAAGUCAAGGGUGAAAUCCGCGCGCUGAACGUGGGAACUGCCUUUGAAACUGGCAAACUGGAGUGUGUGAGAGGCAAGUGGAAUUCCUGGUGUAGGAGUGAAAUGCGUAGAUAUCUGGAGGAACAUCAGUGGCGAAGGCGACUAUCUGGCACAUAACUGACGCUGAGGAGCGAAAGCGUGGGUAGCAAACAGGAUUAGAUACCCGAGUAGUC